RNAcentral lists this long non-coding RNA (1074 nucleotides) under Betta splendens (Siamese fighting fish). RNAcentral describes it as "lncRNA (ENSBSLG00000008639.1)". Lineage: Eukaryota; Metazoa; Chordata; Actinopteri; Anabantiformes; Osphronemidae. The record is from RNAcentral.
AUGGAAGAUGUGAAUGCAGCAUUGAGAGCGAUCCCUACCACAACAAUCACAGAAACCAAUGAGCUGAUAUACGCUUCAGCAUCAGUGAUCCUAGAGGUGCUUGGCUAUAAGAGCAACCAUGGGAGCCAUGAGAAACAAUACCCACCAUGGAAACGAAGGUUGGAGGCAAAAAUCAAGGCAGCUCGGAGGGAAGUGAGCCAAAUGACAGAGGCCCAGAGAGGUGCAAUGAAAAGACCAAUGCCUAAGAGGUACAGCCAGAUGACCAUACCUGAAGCACUCGAAACUGCCAAGCAAAGGCUACAAGCCUUGGCCAGCCGCCUAAAGAGAUACACCAGAGAUAACGAAGCCAGCGGAAUAAACCGGCUGUUCGCAACACAACCUGCGAAAGUGUACUCUCAAUGGCAGGGUAAUAACAGCAGAGCAAACCCACCAAGGCUGGAAACUGAACAGUACUGGAAGGGCAUAUGGGAAAGGGAGGCAUCACACAACAGUGAUGCACAGUGGCUGGUGGAUCUGAGGGAAGACCACAGCAACCUCCCUGAACAGAAUCCAGUGACUAUCACAGUGGCAGACAUCCAACAUAGAGUCUCAUGUAUGAAAAACUGGACAGCACCUGGCCCUGACAUGAUCCACGCCUACUGGCUAAAGAAGCUCACUGCAAUCCAUGAGCGCCUGGCAGCACAAAUGAACCAGCUGCUAAGGGAUGGGACUCACCCUGAAUGGCUAACCGAAGGGCAAACGAUCCUGAUAAUGAAGGAUCCCUCAAAGGGUGCAGUCCCACCCAACUACCGUCCAAUAACCUGCCUCUCCACAACAUGGAAGCUCAUGUCAGGCAUCAUCGCAGCUAAGAUAAAUGGGCACAUGGGUCAACACAUGAGCGAAGCACAGAAGGGCAUUAGUAAGGAUACCAGAGGAGCCAAACACCAACUCCUGGUUGACAGAACAGUCGACACAGCAGAAUGCGACACACCAACCUGUGCACAGCCUGGAUCGACUACAAGAAAGCCUAUGACUCAAUGCCACACACAUGGAUCACUGAAUGCUUGGAGCUGUACAACAUCAACAGAACUCUAA